Molecule: ribosomal RNA, 327 nt
Filed under: Triticum aestivum (bread wheat)
Lineage: Eukaryota; Viridiplantae; Streptophyta; Magnoliopsida; Poales; Poaceae
Description: partial small subunit ribosomal RNA
Source: RNAcentral
AUGGAAAGCGUUAGAAGUUCAGACAUGAGACAUGCAUCGAAACCAAGGAAAAGGGCCAAGAAAGAAAUAAUGAUGGCAACUUUUCCCCAAUCAGAGGCUAAUAAUUGCAGAGGGAAAGAGAGGCGGAGGGGGAGAUCCCCAAUGAGAAGAAGCUGCGAUGUGCGCGCGACUGCAUGCACAAGCAUGCAGUCACGCCCCCUCAUCAUUACACCAAUCUGCAUCUCAUGCAGUUUAUACGCAUGCCACCAAAAAAGAGAUCCAUCCAUCACCCAAACAACGCACAGAGAAAAAAAAAGACAAACAGUUCGAGAGAGAGGAGGAAGAUGA